RNAcentral lists this ribosomal RNA (468 nucleotides) under uncultured bacterium. RNAcentral describes it as "partial 16S ribosomal RNA". It matches the Rfam family "Bacterial small subunit ribosomal RNA", at positions 28 to 507 of the family's 1533-position model. The record is from RNAcentral.
GACGAACGCAGGCGGCGUGCUUAACACAUGCAAGUCGAACGGAAAGGCCCUGCUUUUGUGGGGUGCUCGAGUGGCGAACGGGUGAGUAACACGUGAGUAACCUGCCCUUGACUUUGGGAUAACUUCAGGAAACUGGGGCUAAUACCGGAUAGGAGCUCCUGCUGCAUGGUGGGGGUUGGAAAGUUUCGGCGGUUGGGGAUGGACUCGCGGCUUAUCAGCUUGUUGGUGGGGUAGUGGCUUACCAAGGCUUUGACGGGUAGCCGGCCUGAGAGGGUGACCGGCCACAUUGGGACUGAGGUACGGCCCAGACUCCUCCGGGAGGAAACAGGGGGGAAUAGUGCACAAUGGGCGGAAGCCUGAUGCAGCAACGCCGCGUGCGGGAUGACGGCCUUCGGGUUGUAAACCGCUUUCGCCUGUGACGAAGCGUGAGUGACGGUAAUGGGUAAAGAAGCACCGGCUAACUACGUG